Molecule: long non-coding RNA, 1179 nt
Organism: Pogoniulus pusillus (Red-fronted tinkerbird)
Lineage: Eukaryota; Metazoa; Chordata; Aves; Piciformes; Lybiidae
Exons: 4
Source: RefSeq, a predicted model, not a curated record
GCAGCCCUGGGGGUGCUGGGGAGAAGCUGAGUGCGAGCAGAUGGUGUGAGCUUGCAGGCCAGAAGAAGUGUGUCAGAGGUCUGUAGGUGUCUGCAGCGGUGUGCAAGCAUCUGUAGAAGUCUGCCCAGAGAUCUUAUUUGCUUUACCCAAAAUCAAGUUGGAGAGAUGUGUGGAGCCUCAGCCACAGACCCUGACUGUUGGGGGGAUGCUUUCAUGGCAGAAAGCGGAGCUGUUGGAAACCCAGUUCCUCCUUGCAAGUGGUUAAGAAUUGGAUUCCCCUGGGAAAAUGGGGACAGAGACAUCUCUCUGCUGCCUGAGUUGGCCUGGUGAAUUCAUGGGGGGAAGGGCAGGAAACUCCCAAAUGACCACAUCUGUACUUAAUAGAAUGAAGAUUAUGGAGGGAAAAGUGAGGUGACUUCAGAGCAGAGAAGUGAUGUUGCAGAGGAAAAAGCUGAGCAGGUCUAUUGGGAAGAAAACAAACUCUGGAGGAAAAAUCUGAGGUAAACAAGAGGACACAAAUGACAUUUUCUAUUCAAAAAAGUGAACAAGUCUCUAGGGGAUAAAAAUGAAGAUUGUAGGAGGAAAAAGCUGAGGUGAUUAGGUGGGACAGAGCCGACAUUGUGAAUGGAAAAACAUAAUGUAAUCCAUAGGGGAGAAAAGGAGCAUUUUUGAAGGAAACCAGGCCCUAUGCCUCUGAAACCCUGGGGCCAGACAUACCCACAGUGAUUACAGGGCAGUUCCCUCCUUGAACCUCCUGCCAGGUGAUGCAACACAGAGCCCUACUUACAGGGUGGCUGCUCUCACAUCAGCACUCCCAAAAACAACUACAAAGCACCAGCCCCUAGGCUCCUGUACACAGGGGUUGUCGCAGCUUUUGUCCUUUGUCCACCCAUGGAGGACUUCGGUGUCCCAAGGGCUCUCUGAGCCCCACACAGUCUGGCGGGGCCAAGUCUGACCCUCUUCUCUCCUGCUCUGGGGUAAGGAUGGCUGUCCCAAGAGUGGCUGCCCAGAGCUUGCUCCCUCUCCUGGGAAGAGGUGUGUGUACGGGGCCCCCCCUUGCCUCUGUGUGUGCGUGAGCGUGCUUGUCGUUGAGGUUGCUGUGAAAAGUGCUGCAGCUUAGCUUAGGCUUCCCAGGAGGGAAAGAGGGGCUCUGGGCAGUAACAGGGGAGUCUCCUUGGA